GUACCCUUUUUUAUUAUAUGUGACUCGUUGUAUAUAGGCUUAUCUAUGCAUUAGUAUUUGAUGCUCUAUCAUGUUAGUUUCCUUGUUCUAUUUUUUGAGCCUUAACAUCAAUUUUUUCUUGCAGGCGGCGAUGGCGGGAGUUCCGUAUUAGGCAGAGGAAAAGGACGGGAAGAAAGAAGGCUUGGGCAUGAGUGGUUAUUGGGUGGCGGUGACCUUCAAGUACCUGCCUCAUGGCACCUCACUCUACAGUCGUGGCAAGUGUGUUUGACUUCCACAACUCCAGCCUCCUUUAUGUUCAUGUAUAUACGCCAUCGACCACAAACCCUAUAUUUAUCUGAUAAAUGAUGCUACCAUCUUUGAGAAUAAUAACCGAAUAUACCAUAAAUGUAGGAAAUAUUAUAAGUCACCAUCAUGACAGUAUGAAAUAUAUGAUGUUCACCAACUUCAUCUAUUUAUAAGUCACCAUCAGGACAGUAUGAAAUAUAAGUGUCUUUCCUUACUGCAUCAUAAUUGUGUUUUACGUGAACUCGUCAUUUAAGCACUAAUGAUAGGUAUUGCCUCCAGCAGUAUUCUAUAUUUGUGGGCCAAGAGAAAAACAUACAUGUACUUUUUUGGCUCCAGUACGUUACAUGCUAAUAAAGAAAUAGCCUUCUCAAAGAAAAUUCAAAUGAACUAGCCUUGAACUCUAUUUUUCGGAUGCCAGCACUUGCUAAUCUGCAUGAAAGAGCUAACUCGAUACGUAUGCUAAUUAUACUUGAUAGUCUCAUGAAACAACAGUAAAAAAACAGCGACCAACUUUUUGUUAUGUAACACUUCUUAAUUUGUUCAUACCUGCCAAAUAAAUAUUGUAUGGAGGAGCGAAAAGGAUUCAAACAUGCACACUAAUUACUAUUGAUGACAUCAUACCGGCAGAAACUGUAGGAGGACCAACUUUUUUUGCUCAUUAGCCACGAGCAUAGGGUCUAAUUGACACAUAAUUUAGUGACUAGGAGGAUGAAGUGGAAGCAGAAUAUCAGAAGAAGAAAACUAUAAUUGUGCAAUUGAAAAUAAUAAUAGAUGGAGAAAUUUGAAAUAUUGGUAAAUAUUAUAAAAGCAUAUAAAUAGGCUUUUUUGCGGCAACACAUAGGUGUUUAAUACUAUACAAUAAUUAAAGCUACACGGAGUUAAAAGUUGUUGAACAAAAAAAAUGCAAGAACAGAUCCAUCAUGUAUUUUCUCAUGACGUCUUUUUGACAUAUAUUCAUUGCUGGCAUGAAGUUUCUACCUAAGAAACUACAGGAAUGUCCCGCUUUCUCAUUUGCUAGAAUAAUUGGAGAAUGUAAUAAUAUUUCUGUAUAUGAUGCCAAAUUUCUACCUGCUGAAAGCAACAUGGGGCAAUAUGGUGAGUGGAAUUAUGUGAUGCAUGUAGAAAAUAGAAUACGAGCAGACAACAGGUUAUUUGCAUGUAAAAUUAAUCCUACCAAAUUAUUAUUUCUAGGAUUUCAGCACCCUGCCGUACAGAAGCAACCUUCUCUGUAUUUUUUGCUUCCCUUGCUCUAAACAUUGUUACUCCCCUGAAGGCCGAAGCGCAGCGCAGUAAGACCAUGUUUUCCUUUGUUUUAAUCUUUUGUUGUUACUAUUAUUACUAGGUCAUAUGAUCUUUGACAUCGUUUCCCUGUGGACUCACGUAUUCACCAUAUGACAUCAUGUAAUGUUUUCUUUUGCUUAUUUAUAACAUGUGAUUGUCUUUAUUAUUUUCAUGUGUUCUGCAAUCUUAUAGUUUUCCUUUUCUUAUUUAUAAUGUAUGCUUGUUGUAUGUGCUUUUGCUCGCAAUUUAUUAGAGCAUAUGCUUGUUUCUAUAGCGUUUUGUCCAUGUCUAAUUAAAUCUUGAUCCUGUAGUACUUGCUGUUUGAGAAAUAGACAUUGAGGAUCACUUUUUACAUAUAUUUUAUAAACCCUGUUGGGAUGCUUUGCAGGAGAUACUGAACAUAAUUCCCGACCCGUGACAACCUUUUUUAGCCUCAUCUCCAUCUCAGAGAUCUACCUUCUAUCAACAGGUAUCUAUCAAUCCCUUCUACUUGCAAAACAGAAAUAAUAUAUGUAGUUCAAAUGGUGAAAUCCAUAUAAGUUUUAAGAUUAUGUCCUGUUAAUUGUUCCAUUUGCUAGAGAGAGUGAUAACUUUAAACUGCUAUGGAGCUGAUGUAAAUUUAGUUGGCCACAAUGGCUCAUAAGUUUAUUCCUUACUACAUAUAUAGGCCAGUUAAUCUUAAUUUAGUGCAAGCUACUAUUUUCUCUAGAUUGGAGUGCUGAUGAGUCACCCAAAAGGUGUUUGCAUUCAUGCAGUAACUUUCCAAUUGAUACCUACAUUAUAUUGUAUCUUUUGAUUUUGAAUGUGUGUACAUGAAUUUUAGAUGGAAAUUUAUCGGACUGGGCUGGGAAAGAUAAUGGAGACUGCUACACAUGUUCCUUCGUUCCUUCGGAGCAAUAAAGAAGAUAUGGAAGUUGGGUCUUCAAUUGUAUCACCCAUACUUAGUAUACACACAUGAAUAUAGUUACAAGUCAAAUUACAUAUUGUGCUCAUUUCACAAUGUAAUGUAGGACCAGUUAACUAUUAGUCAUUGUAACAUGUUUGACUGAGAUGAAGCUUCAUUGCGCCUUUCAUUCUCUUUAUGUGCUCAUUUUAGUAAUAGUUACUAGAUUCUAGGGCUGGAGUUGUAACUGGAUGAAGCUUCAUUGUAACUGGAUCUGUAGUGGAGUUGAAGGCCGAACUAUUUUAUGUGGUGCAUGUUUGUAAAGUUUCUGCAAUGGUGCUUAUUGCUUAAAUGACCGGGACUAUUUAACAGAAUGUUUUUUCGUCGGAAUUAUCUACUAUGCCUAGUGUAUGAAAACUGUGCAAAAAUAAGGUCUGCUAGAUAAAAAUAGUAAUGGGCUGAAAUAUCAAAUAUUGAUCUGAAUUGUUGGGCCUGGC
Molecule: long non-coding RNA, 2946 nt
Filed under: Hordeum vulgare
Lineage: Eukaryota; Viridiplantae; Streptophyta; Magnoliopsida; Poales; Poaceae
Description: long non-coding RNA (HVUL_LNC000044)
Source: RNAcentral